UACAGAGGGUGCAAGCGUUAAUCGGAAUUACUGGGCGUAAAGCGUGCGUAGACGGUUACAUAAGUCGGGUGUGAAAGCCCCGGGCUCAACCUGGGAAUUGCAUUCGAGACUGCGUAGCUAGGGUGCGGAAGAGGGAAGCGGAAUUUCCGGUGUAGCGGUGAAAUGCGUAGAUAUCAGAUAGAACACCAAUGGCGAAGGCAGUUACCUGGCUCAAAACUGACGCUAAAGCACGAAAGUGUGGGGAGCAAACAGG
This 253-nucleotide ribosomal RNA is filed under the name uncultured bacterium. Its description in RNAcentral is "partial 16S ribosomal RNA". It matches the Rfam family "Bacterial small subunit ribosomal RNA", at positions 524 to 776 of the family's 1533-position model. The record is from RNAcentral.